UCAUCAAACUCAUCAUCAGUCAAAUCAUCAUCCUCAGGCAAGGCAAACUUGACAGCCUUUGGGUUCUGGUCUUUGCCACCCAUGGGGGGAAGUUUCAGGUCCUUAAAUUGUGGGGGCAACUUCAGAUCUUGGAACCCUUUCAACUGUUGAAGUUGCUGCUGCUGGUUUGGCAUUUGAGGUCCACCUUUUGGCUGAUUGUUUCCACCACCUUUCUGACCUUGGCCUUGGGCUUGCCCCUUGUUAUUGCCACCUUUACCACUGUCAAUUUGCAUGUUCUUGAACUGAUUAUUGAGCUGAUUUUGUUGGUUGUUGUUACUGGCUUUGGGAGCACCCCAUAACUCUGCAUGUUUCCCACUCUUGGCUAAUUUCUUGAUCAGUGUAGCAGGGUCUACAUUUCCAGCAACAGUCACUUUUCCUUGUUCUGAAUCUAUGCUUGUCUUAUAAACCCCUGGAUAAUAACCACAACCAAAAUAUAAAAGGAUUCAGACUAAAGGAGUAUAAAACAAGCCAUAUUUUGGGAUAUUCAGAUAAUAAAAAAAGAGUCUUGGAAUGGGAAAUGGAAAAAUACCUUCAAUCUUUUGCAAGAUUUUCUUUACUUUAUGCUUACACCCAUCACAGUGUAUAUUGACUUUAAGGACACAAGUCUGCAUGCACAAGCAAAGCCAGCCAACAGAAAACAGAGUAAAGUAAUUAACUUUCUCAGUACCAUUCAACAUUCAAAUACAAAGCACAAGAGAAAGAACACAAAGAAAUUACACACAUACAAAAAAAAGAACAAAAAUCCAGAAAAAGGUUUGAUCUUUCAUUCAGACAGAUACUAAUUAAUUUACCAUUGGUAAAGAACAAAAAAAAAAUUAAAAAAUGGGAACAGAGGAUCUUGAGCUGGAAACUCAAACAAAAAGAGAAAACACACACACAUUGUAGAUAUACAUUUGAAUUAGCCAACUGAGAGAAAAAAAUUAAGUACCUGGAUCUUCAAGAACUCUUCUUUACUCAUAUCUCCAAGCUAAUGAAAAACCAAAGAAAAGGGGUAAUCUUGAAAUGAGAAAAGGGUAAUUUCUGUAACUAAUAGAUCUAAGAGAAAGCAAAGACAAUUAAAAAUUAACAAGGAAAUGGUGAAUUAGCACAACUAUAACUUCAACACCCUCUUCUCCAUUUUUUUUUGCUUUUUUCCCUCAAAUGGGGUUCUGCCAAACAGAAACACAGAGUGAAAUGUAUGGAGAAAAACAAAAAAUGAACUUCAGCAAAGUGAAAUUCUUGAUUGAAAAAAACAAAAAAGUGAGUAGUUUAGAAGAAGGAAAACGGAAGAGAAAGUAAGGUUUCAGUUUCAGGGGCGGUGGGUAGAGACAUUAUAACUUCUCUGCUUCCUCUAUUUCAGAGUUAAAGAGAGAGAAAGAGAGCUAGCACUAAAGAAAGAGCAGAGUGGCACAAAGAGUGAGAGAGAGCAAAAGAAGGAGAGAGGAGGAUGGCCUAUAAAAGUUCUCACUCACACUUCUUUGUUUUGGC
This 1506-nucleotide long non-coding RNA is filed under the name Nicotiana tabacum (common tobacco). RNAcentral describes it as "long non-coding RNA (NTAB_LNC012881)". Lineage: Eukaryota; Viridiplantae; Streptophyta; Magnoliopsida; Solanales; Solanaceae. The record is from RNAcentral.